Molecule: ribosomal RNA, 569 nt
Filed under: uncultured bacterium
Lineage: Bacteria
Description: partial 16S ribosomal RNA
Rfam family: Bacterial small subunit ribosomal RNA
Source: RNAcentral
UGGGGAAUAUUGCACAAUGGGCGAAAGCCUGAUGCAGCAACGCCGCGUGAGGGACGACGGCCUUCGGGUUGUAAACCCCUUUUAGCAAGGAAGAAGCGAAAGUGACGGUACUUGCAGAAAAAGCGCCGGCUAACUACGUGCCAGCAGCCGCGGUAAUACGUAGGGCGCAAGCGUUAUCCGGAAUUAUUGGGCGUAAAGAGCUCGUAGGCGGUUUGUCGCGUCUGCUGUGAAAACCCGAGGCUCAACCUCGGGCCUGCAGUGGGUACGGGCAGACUAGAGUGCGGUAGGGGAGAUUGGAACUCCUGGUGUAGCGGUGGAAUGCGCAGAUAUCAGGAAGAACACCGAUGGCGAAGGCAGAUCUCUGGGCCGUAACUGACGCUGAGGAGCGAAAGGGUGGGGAGCAAACAGGCUUAGAUACCCUGGUAGUCCACCCCGUAAACGUUGGGAACUAGUUGUGGGGUCCAUUCCACGGAUUCCGUGACGCAGCUAACGCAUUAAGUUCCCCGCCUGGGGGAGUACGGCCGCAAGGCUAAAACUUAAAUGAAUUGACGGGGUCAUAGCUGUUUCCU